UACAGAGGGUGCGAGCGUUGUUCGGAAUUAUUGGGCGUAAAGGGCGCGUAGGCGGUGCGGUAAGUCACCUGUGAAAUCUCCUGGCUCAACUGGGAGCUUGCAGGCGAAACUGCCGUGCUGGAGUGUGGGAGAGGUGCGUGGAAUUCCCGGUGUAGCGGUGAAAUGCGUAGAGACCCGGGGGAACACCAGUGGCGAAGGCGGCGUCCUGGCCUGCGACUGACGCUGUGGCGCGAAAGCUAGGGGAGCGAACGGG
Molecule: ribosomal RNA, 253 nt
Filed under: uncultured bacterium
Lineage: Bacteria
Description: partial 16S ribosomal RNA
Rfam family: Bacterial small subunit ribosomal RNA
Source: RNAcentral